Molecule: ribosomal RNA, 207 nt
Filed under: uncultured bacterium
Lineage: Bacteria
Description: partial 16S ribosomal RNA
Rfam family: Bacterial small subunit ribosomal RNA
Source: RNAcentral
CUCGUAGGCGGUUUGUCGCGUCUGCUGUGAAAUCCGGAGGCUCAACCUCCGGCCUGCAGUGGGUACGGGCAGACUAGAGUGCGGUAGGGGAGAUUGGAAUUCCUGGUGUAGCGGUGGAAUGCGCAGAUAUCAGGAGGAACACCAAUGGCGAUGGCAGAUCUCUGGGCCGUAACUGACGCUGAGGAGCGAAAGCAUGGGGAGCGAACA